This 130-nucleotide ribosomal RNA is filed under the name Mycoplasma struthionis. RNAcentral's name for it is "partial 23S ribosomal RNA". It matches the Rfam family "Bacterial large subunit ribosomal RNA", at positions 1 to 130 of the family's 2925-position model. The record is from RNAcentral. Lineage: Bacteria; Bacillati; Mycoplasmatota; Mollicutes; Mycoplasmatales; Mycoplasmataceae.
UUAAACAAGAUAAGAGUUUUUGGUGGAUGCCUUGGGUCUGGAAGUCGAUGAAGGACGUGAUUACCUGCGAUAAGCCUCGGUUAGCUGGAAAUAAGCUACGAUCCGGGGAUUUCCAWNGGGGGGAAACCCA